AAAGAAGAAGAAGUUGACUUUGGCUCUCCAAAUUUUUCCUGGAAACAAGUUUAAAACAGACCAAAUUCGUGUAUUUUUUGCACACAACAUAUUUUUCAGAGUUACACUACACAUUGCAACUCAUAAGUAGACCAAAGUACUUACAGAAUAGAUUUUUGAAAUCAGUCAAUCUGAUAAACAAAUAUCCCGCCAGUUAGAUCACAUGAUUCAAUCAGCUAAAAGGUGACUUCCGGUGUAAACAAAGCACUCUCAGUAAAAGGCCAUAUAUGUUUCAUCAUUACUAACAUUGCUCAUUUGUGUACAUAUUGUGAACCAGGGAUGCAACUGGGUACGAAGAUAACCUCAUCUAUAGCUAAUACUUGUAUCAUAUUGUGUGUCUUCACAGGUCCUGUCCAACCACUACGCCAGUAAGUCACUUUUCAACAUGUUUCAUCGGCAGUGUAGUAUUCACUCUCACUCGCUC
RNAcentral lists this long non-coding RNA (463 nucleotides) under Mytilus galloprovincialis (Mediterranean mussel). Lineage: Eukaryota; Metazoa; Mollusca; Bivalvia; Mytilida; Mytilidae. The record is from RNAcentral.